GUGAUUUUUUUUUUUUGUGCCCAAGCACAAAAUUUGGCCAACCCCUAAAUGAUCUUAUAGUGAGAUUAUUUCGGAUUGCUCAUAUAGUUUAAUAAAAAAAUUUAUUAAUUGGUUGAAUAGUUGGUAGAUGACUGAAUAGUGUUGAUAAUACAAAGGUCGGUGAAACCGUUAGCGUGAAGUAAAAUCUUUGCUAAAAACGUCGUCGAAGGCCAUAUUCAACAAAGCGAAUAGCUGAAUUGUACAAACAAAGUUUGUAGAAGGAAACGAGAUCUAGGAAGGAUUCGAUAUUGUAAAAAAAGGAAAGAGGAUACUAUUUGAUUUUUGAGCUGCUACUAAAAGUUGCUGCAAAAGAUAGUUUCUGGUUCAUCCGAACAAACUCAAAAAUCAAAUAUUGAGAUUUCGGAGAACCUCAAUCACGAUGAGCGAAUCGAACCUGGAUUUCACCAUGACACCGUGCGAAGCCUGUGGGGAAAUAUCGACGCAGAAUGAGGAGAUGAUUGCUUGUGAUAACUGUGAGCGAUGGUAUCACACUCGUUGUGUAGAUGUUACGGCGGCAGACAAAAAAGGCAAGAAAUGGUUCUGUCCUGAAGAUGUCUGCCAAGCGGCUUCCCAAGACUACCAGAAACGGAAGAAAAUGUCACGGUCGAAGAAUAACGCGGAAGAUUCGGAUAGUUUGACUACGAAAUCCGGAGAACGUCAACAUCCGCCAGUAUCUCCUUCCUUGCAAAAUAAAAUCAAAGAAAUGGAAGUGGAGAAAAAGCGUUUGGAAGAAGAAAUGGACGCAGAAUAUUUACUGAAGGUAAAGGAACUCGAAUUAAGAAAAUCAAUGCGAGAGAAAAAAAUGCGUUUAGAAAGAGACUUGCGUGAAAGGGAGCUGCAGUAUGAUAGAGAGCUUCGU
This is a long non-coding RNA of Malaya genurostris, 898 nucleotides long. RefSeq lists it as uncharacterized. The transcript has 4 exons. Lineage: Eukaryota; Metazoa; Arthropoda; Insecta; Diptera; Culicidae. The record is from RefSeq and is a predicted model, not a curated record.